This 497-nucleotide ribosomal RNA is filed under the name uncultured bacterium. Its description in RNAcentral is "partial 16S ribosomal RNA". It matches the Rfam family "Bacterial small subunit ribosomal RNA", at positions 28 to 507 of the family's 1533-position model. The record is from RNAcentral.
GAUGAACGCUGGCGGCGUGCCUAAUACAUGGAAGUCGAGCGAACAGACGAGGAGCUUGCUCCUCUGACGUUAGCGGCGGACGGGUGAGUAACACGUGGAUAACCUACCUAUAAGACUGGGAUAACUUCGGGAAACCGGAGCUAAUACCGGAUAAUAUAUUGAACCGCAUGGUUCAAUAGUGAAAGACGGUUUUGCUGUCACUUAUAGAUGGAUCCGCGCCGCAUUAGCUAGUUGGUAAGGUAACGGCUUACCAAGGCAACGAUGCGUAGCCGACCUGAGAGGGUGAUCGGCCACACUGGAACUGAGACACGGUCCAGACUCCUACGGGAGGCAGCAGUAGGGAAUCUUCCGCAAUGGGCGAAAGCCUGACGGAGCAACGCCGCGUGAGUGAUGAAGGUCUUCGGAUCGUAAAACUCUGUUAUUAGGGAAGAACAAAUGUGUAAGUAACUAUGCACGUCUUGACGGUACCUAAUCAGAAAGCCACGGCUAACUACGUG